CCUACGGGCGACAGCAGUGAGGAAUAUUGGUCAAUGGGCGCGAGCCUGAACCAGCCAAGUCGCGUGAGGGAUGACGGCCCUACGGGUUGUAAACCUCUUUUGCCGGGGAGCAACGGGCGCCACGUGUGGCGCCACUUAGAGUACCCGGAGAAAAAGCCUCGGCUAACUCCGUGCCAGCAGCCGCGGUAAUACGGAGGAUGCGAGCGUUAUCCGGAUUUAUUGGGUUUAAAGGGUGCGUAGGCUGUGAGGUAAGUCAGCGGUGAAAUGCCCCCGCUCAACGGGGUGAAGUGCCAUUGAUACUGCCGUGCUGGAAUGCGGAUGCCGUGGGAGGAAUGUGUGGUGUAGCGGUGAAAUGCAUAGAUAUCACACAGAACACCGAUUGCGAAGGCAUCUCACGAAGCCGCGAUUGACGCUGAUGCACGAAAGCGUGGGUAUCAAACAGGAUUAGAUACCCCAGUAGUC
RNAcentral lists this ribosomal RNA (462 nucleotides) under uncultured bacterium. RNAcentral describes it as "partial 16S ribosomal RNA". It matches the Rfam family "Bacterial small subunit ribosomal RNA", at positions 338 to 795 of the family's 1533-position model. The record is from RNAcentral.